Equus caballus (horse) is the source of this 795-nucleotide non-coding RNA. Lineage: Eukaryota; Metazoa; Chordata; Mammalia; Perissodactyla; Equidae. The record is from the annotation of a RefSeq genome assembly.
CAUUAAUCUUGCUCCCCACAGAGCUCUGAGGAGCCUGAACCAGGAACUUGAUCAACAGAGAGAACACGCAGGUGCCAGGAAGCCCAAGUUUCCUCAAAGAAAGGCCAUUUCUAAAAACACCUGCUGACACAGGGGUGCUGGUUCCUCUUUGAGAACCCAGUCUCUGAGGUUUGGCCAUAUCUCCAACAGAGGUGGGCUAGAAAGGAGCCCUUAGACACCUCAACUUAAGCCAUGACCUCUGCAUGCAUCUCAACACUUGCGAUUUUCUUCACACUGAGUGGACUGAGAGCUCAGUCAGUGACUCAGCCAAAAGAUCAGAUCACUGUGGCCGAAGGAAAUCCACUGACUGUGAAAUGCACCUAUUCAUUUUCUGGGAGCCCUUAUCUCUUUUGGUACGUCCAAUAUCCAAACCAAGGUCUCCAGUUCCUUCUGAAAUACAUCACAGGGGACAGCCUGGUUAAAGGAAGCUACGGUUUUGAGGCUGAAUUUAAUAAGAGCCAAACCUCUUUCCACCUGAAGAAACCAUCUGUCCUCGGGAGUGACUCUGCUGUGUACUUCUGUGCUGGGAGUGACACAGUGGUGGGGGCUGCAGGGAGAGCUGAACACAAACCCCUGAGUACAUUGAAGGAACUAAGGUGCAGAGAAUUUAAGCCUCUCACUCAAGUCACAAAACUAUUCAAUGGCAAGUUGAAACCCAGGCAGUCUGCCUCUCAGGUACAUAUUCUAACCAUUCCACAUCCCUACCAGCCUAUCGGCUCCUUGAGGCAUGAGAUUGUGAUUUCAGCGAUGGUGUAA